CCUACGGGAGGCAGCAGUGGGGAAUAUUGGUCAAUGGGCGCAAGCCUGACCCAGCAACGCCGCGUGAAGGAAGACGGCUUUCGGGUUGUAAACUUCUUUUUUCAGGGACGAAGCAAGUGACAGUACCUGACGAAUAAGCCACGGCUAAAUACGUGCCAGCAGCCGGUGUAAUUCGUAGGUGGCAAGCGUUAUCCGGAUUUACUGGGUGUAAAGGGGGUGUUGGCGGGAGUGCAAGUCAGAUGGGAACACCAUGGGGUUAACCUGUGCCGUGCAUUUGAAACUGUAGGUCUUGAGUACUGGCGAGGUAGAUGGAAUUCGUAGUGUAGCGGUGAAAUGCGUAGAUAUUAGGAGGAACACCAGUGGCGAAGGCGGUGUGCCGGACAGCAACUGACGCUGAGGCGCGAAAGCGCGGGGAGCAAACAGGAUUAGAUACCCCAGUAGUC
RNAcentral lists this ribosomal RNA (443 nucleotides) under uncultured bacterium. Its description in RNAcentral is "partial 16S ribosomal RNA". It matches the Rfam family "Bacterial small subunit ribosomal RNA", at positions 338 to 795 of the family's 1533-position model. The record is from RNAcentral.